This 380-nucleotide ribosomal RNA is filed under the name uncultured soil bacterium. Its description in RNAcentral is "bacterial SSU rRNA". It matches the Rfam family "Bacterial small subunit ribosomal RNA", at positions 26 to 402 of the family's 1533-position model. The record is from RNAcentral.
AGAUUGAACGCUGGCGGUAGGCCUAACACAUGCAAGUCGAGCGCGAAGGUGCCUUCGGGUGCGAGUAGAGCGGCGGACGGGUGCGUAACGCGUAGGAAUCUGCCUGGUAGUGGGGGAUAACUCGGGGAAACUCGAGCUAAUACCGCAUACGCCCCAUGGGGGAAAGCGGGGGGACCUUCGGGCCUCGCGCUAUCAGAUGAGCCUGCGUCGGAUUAGCUAGUUGGUAGGUAAUGGCCUACCAAGGCGACGAUCCGUAGCUGGUCUGAGAGGAUGAUCAGCCCACACUGGGACUGAGACACGGCCCAGACUCCGUACGGGAGGCAGCAGGUGGGAAUAUUGGACGAAGUGGGGGCAACCCGUGACUCCAGCCACUACCGCGU